GAAGAUUUCUGGGGCUUUGGAGGGAAUCGUGAGCGGGCGGGAGGAGGCCGGGGACCACACAGAGAAUAACUUGUCUGAUUACCAGUAUUCUUGGAUGCAGAAGUGCUGAAGAUGAGCACACACACGUACGGAGAAUUUCUGGAGAAUUCAGCUGCUCAGAACAAGAACUGAGAUCCAGAGAGAUGAUGACUUUGCCCAUAGACCAAACAAAGAAAUACAUGUUUCAGUCCUGUGUCCUUCUGCUAUGUGUGUCCAGAAUUGGUGGGUUCUUGGUCUCACUGACUUCAAGAAUGAAGCCGCGGACCCUCACAGACCGUGUGUGAAUGCCUGCUCUGUGAGCCCUCAGAAUCUACUGGCCGAAUGAGUGCGUGAAGGAGGAAAUGUGCUCAGAGCUGCUGUGUGUCAUCCUGUGUUUGAAGUGCUCUUGCAGCUAUCAUUCGUCCUGUUAAGAAUUUGAAGAAGUGUGUGCACAAAGGAUGUACCAGACUAUUAAUGUUGGUGACCAUGGGCUAGGGCUAGGGAGUAUGUUCUUGAUAAAUUUACAAAAUCUUCCGAUCAACUACAGACUUUAAAAAUAUAACAAAUCAAUUUUUAAUAAAAUACUCUCUCUAUAUAUAUAUGUGUAUAUAUAUAUGCGUGUGUGUGUGUAUAUAUAUAUAU
This 660-nucleotide non-coding RNA is filed under the name Pongo abelii (Sumatran orangutan). The record is from RNAcentral. Lineage: Eukaryota; Metazoa; Chordata; Mammalia; Primates; Hominidae.